Long non-coding RNA from Alligator mississippiensis (American alligator), 2652 nucleotides. RefSeq lists it as uncharacterized. Lineage: Eukaryota; Metazoa; Chordata; Crocodylia; Alligatoridae. The record is from RefSeq and is a predicted model, not a curated record. The transcript has 3 exons.
GUGAAAGUUGGGCAAGCAGGUUAACCCUUCUCUUCCUGCUCUCCUGGGACAGACAGCAGAGGCAGGCACAAAGCCUAAACUGUUAUCCAGCAUUUUCAAUUAAUGUAUUUAAAAUAUGAUGGAAAAGAAACAGUUUCCCCCGUCUACUCAGCCCUUAACCAUAUGAAUAACUUUACUCAGGUUCAUGUUGUAUUAAGCCAAGCUUCCAUGACCUGCAAAAUAUUUUGAGGGGAUCUAAAUGGAUUAGCACUGACACUGACCAGUCUAACACGCUUAAAUGCUUUGGGACUUUUAACAUAGAAGAGAUUGUGAAAGUAAUCAAGCUAAAUACUCGAGGGACACUAGAAUAGCCAUGAAUUGUUUGACUUAUUGAAUGUCUGGCUCUGUAGUAUUAAGUGUGUGUUAGGUUUUUUGGUCCAAAAUUCUAAUAAAGCAAUCCCUCCCUAACGUUUCCUCUUUGGAUUUGUAGGAAAGUCUCCCGAGAAUUCUUUGACUGUCAUGCCAAUAGCUAUGUUUUACCUGGAAAACAUGCUUAGAACUUUUAGUUAAAUGUGGCUUUCUGAGAUCCACAGUAGUUAUGAUGGAAAACGGUGUCUUUAAAUUCUAUUGUGGAUAAAUACCACAGUCAGCCUCAAUAUUCUUCUUGGGUCUGAUAGAAAACAUUGCUGAACAAUGUUGAAGCAGGGUACUUUUAUUUCUCUGUUCUAUGGCAUUAUGACUUCCUCUCCAUCUAUCUUUGCUCAAUCUCACAAUUCCUCGAGCCCUACUAUCUACCUACCCUACAUUUCGGCCUCACGAACAGCUUUUACUGCUUUCACAAUUCAUCUGUUGUUGUUUUUAAGGAGGUUGAAACAGGCACUUAACCGUCCUUGUGAUUUAGUCUUUGCAGCUAGAAAACACGCUUGAAAGCAGCACAGCUGGUCAUGAAGAACUGCUGGAGAGUAGCAGCUGUGCUUUGAAGGGGGCACUGAAAAUGAUUACCUUCCUUCCCCAUAGCACUUCCCUGGGUGCCUGUAACUUUUACUUUCUUCUACUAAAUUGAGAAUGUUCUUUCUAACAGUCUCAUUACUGAAAAUUGCCCAGCCACCUGGAAAGUGCUGCUGAACACUCUGGCUAGUUCUGCAGGCUCAUGAUGGGAGAUUCACUUCCCAUCACUGUCACCUGAAUGAUAUCCUCUGCCAUCUUAGGCUAAAUGCUUGGAGUUAAAUGUGUGAAUAUGUCCCGUAUGUCUCCAACCAGUGUUACUGCAAUAGGGCAGCUCUGCAAUUCACCAUUCUCCAACUCCUGUAUAAGCAAAAAUGAAGCUCUCCGGUUUGUUGCUUAACCAACUCUUGAAAUGCAUAGACAUGGAUCUAGAGAACAAUUUAGCAGUGGCACCUCGAAACCUUAGGCCUUUUACAGCCUGGAGAGAAAAUUAAUAUACAGAGGUGGAAAUCUGACCUUUUCCACUUUGUAGAGUGUUGUAGUCCACACAGAGAAGUCAUCACAUAAUGGCCUGCCAUUAAGAGCCCUUGCAAUAAGACAAUAUUUGUUUAUUUAUUCCUUGUUAGUUACUGCUAUAGUUGAACACUGCACAGUAUAGGUGCCAAGCACUCUAGCCCUAAUACAAAAAAAGGUAUCUGAGCACAUGCUAAAUCCAACUGAAGUUAAUAGGGCUUAAGCCCGAGUUUAAAUGCUUUGCUGGCCCAAAACCAGAGUCCCCAUUAUGUUCUAACACUCCUUGACUCUUCCUCUCAAAUCAUGAAUGCCCAAAAAGGAGGAUUUAAAAAUAUUGUUCAUUCAGGAAGCUUAAGAAGCCAUUCCUCCAGUGUAACUAAUUUGUAUAGACACCAUUCCAUUUCGUUUUCUGAAAUAAAUAGUUUCAGGCAAUGAAAGCAAGGCUGGCUAUUCAAUAUGUGUGGGAAGGUGGUUAGUUUUGAGGCUUAAAUAAGUCUCUCAAAAUUCACAACAUCUGAGAAGUAUGUUAGCAAGCAAUUUGUCAACUGUCUGCUUUCAUCCCAUUAACUGCAUUUUCUCACAUCUUGUUUCCUUGUAUUUCUGCCAGUGUUAAUGGUAUUUUAGUAAAAAAUGAUAAAAUAUGUAAUAUAUCAUUUGUGCAAAGAAUGCAAAUACUGUACUAGUGAAAAUAAUAAUGCUUCUGAUGUUUGUAUAUGAAGUGUUUGUAUUAAUAUUCAUGUAUUUGCCCAAACCAAAUUCAUAUGAAGAUAUGAAUACAUACAUCGGUCUCUUGCCAAGCACUGGUAUUACUGAACUGGGCCCAGAAGACUCCUGGUCCCAACACCAUCUGCAUAUAAAAAGUUUGUGAAGUUUAGUACAUAUAGAACAUGCUCAGAUUCAAAAUCUGUAGAUCAAAAAUAAACCCUUCAAUGCACUGGGGCAAAGAUCCAACUUUAGCCCAACAGGGCCAUCCCUAAUUCAACCAUGUAGUUGUCUACAUGGGUUCAAGAAUCUUGAUUAAUGAAGCAAGAACCCUGCUCUGAAGACAGUUAAGGUAGCUAAGGAUUUUCCCUUUCAGAAUGGCUCAUUCAGAGAAGCUUAGCAAGAAGCAGGCUACCCUCAAAGGGAACAAAAAUGUCACACCACAUUAGAAGAACCUUGAAUUAUUUUAGCCUGAGUGGGGCCCCAUUUUUCUUCUAGCUCAGUUCCUGUAGG